UACGGAGGGGGCAAGCGUUGUCCGGAUUUAUUGGGCGUAAAGAGCGUGUAGGCGGCUUUACAGGUCCGUUGUGAAAUCUCGAGGCUCAACCUCGAGACGCCGGUGGAAACCGUAAAGCUAGAGUCCGGAAGAGGAGAGUGGAAUUCCUGGUGUAGCGGUGAAAUGCGCAGAUAUCAGGAAGAACACCCGUGGCGAAGGCGGCUCUCUGGGACGGUACUGACGCUGAGACGCGAAAGCGUGGGGAGCGAACAGG
RNAcentral lists this ribosomal RNA (253 nucleotides) under uncultured bacterium. RNAcentral describes it as "partial 16S ribosomal RNA". It matches the Rfam family "Bacterial small subunit ribosomal RNA", at positions 524 to 776 of the family's 1533-position model. The record is from RNAcentral.